Molecule: long non-coding RNA, 592 nt
Organism: Argiope bruennichi
Lineage: Eukaryota; Metazoa; Arthropoda; Arachnida; Araneae; Araneidae
Exons: 3
Source: RefSeq, a predicted model, not a curated record
UAGGUUCCUUCAUGGAGGUGGUUGGUCUUCGAGACCAAUUGGCACAGAUUAAUCGGACGGUCUUCGUUCUUUGUUGUUCAUUCCGACUGAAACUUUCUGGAUGGAUAUUUAAAAGAAGCCUCAUAAUGCCAUCUUUCCAAAAUUGUUGUGUUUUGGACAAGAAAUAAUCCUCGAGAUGCGCAUUUAUUUCGCUGAUGGAUUUAAAACGCUUAUUGCGAAGAGAAUUUUUUAAGGACAGAAUGAAGUAAUAAUCAGAUGGUGCAAGAUAUGGAAAGUAUGCAGGAUGCGGUAAAACAUCUGAAACUGUAAGAGCUUCUCUCUUACGACUAAUGCAAUAUGUGGUCUCGCGUUGUCAUGAUGAAAAACAACAGCUCGUGACUUUCUAAAUUAGAAGACAUGAUUUAGACUCCGACGAAAAUGAAUCGUCUGUCUCGUUCUGGAGAAAUAAAUAGAAUGAUGCUGUCAAUAAAUAAUGAACAACAAUUUUGUAUAUUGAUAUGUAUUCACCUGAAAUAAUACAUUUUGUAAAUGCAAAAUCUUUAUUAUUUAAUAGUACCUUCAAAAUAUGCCAAGGCAGAAAUUUAUUGAGAAA